This 305-nucleotide ribosomal RNA is filed under the name uncultured bacterium. RNAcentral describes it as "bacterial SSU rRNA". It matches the Rfam family "Bacterial small subunit ribosomal RNA", at positions 338 to 659 of the family's 1533-position model. The record is from RNAcentral.
CCUACGGGGGGCAGCAGUGGGGGAUAUUGCACAAUGGGGGAAACCCUGAUGCAGCGACGCCGCGUGUGGGAAGACGGUCCUCUGGAUUGUAAACCACUGUCCCCAGGGACGAAGAUGACGGUACCUGAGGAAUAAGCCACGGCUAACUACGUGCCAGCAGCCGCGGUAAUACGUAGGUGGCAAGCGUUAUCCGGAUUUAUUGGGUGUAAAGGGCGUGUAGGCGGGAGCGCAAGUCAGAUGUGAAAACUCAGGGCUCAACCCUGAGCCUGCAUUUGAAACUGGGUUUCUUGAGUGCUGGAGAGGCA